AAGGGUGGAUGGGGUGGGGGCAGAGCGGCAGCUGGCGCGGAUAAGGCUGCACGUGGCGGGGCUACGCUCCGGCCGAUAACCCCACAGGCGGCCCAGCCUCCUUCCGUCUGGGCACAUUUUUCAUCCCUCGGACACCCGCCCCCAGGACACCUGGGGCCCCUCCUCGGAGGAAGCCGACUCCGUCUCCCCGCUCCCGUCUGUGGGUCUGCCCGUCUCACAGAGGCAACAGGGAGCCAAUGAAGACUUUUAACUGGAGGGAAGCAGGAAAGACAUUGUCAAAUCUGUUUUAUGAAUAUCGUGUUCAUGGUAAAGUUUUGUGGGGAGUAUUUUGGUCAGGAGGAAUCUCAGCACACCAAAUGUUAAAUUGGCAAUACUAUAAGAAGGGUUGGAGAGCUGUAUACAGAGAGUGUCUCUUCAGGAACACCCAUGCAUAUUGAGCUUUUUGUGAAUUCAAGAUCUGACAUGUUUUGAGGUUAGUACACAUGCAUAAUAGACAAGCUUUGUUUGCUUUUGUGAAUAUUACUGUGUGGGAUAAGUAAAUUUUAUAUUAAAGAAGAUAAUUGGCAGAAGCUAGGUGGCGCAGUGGAUAGAGCACUGGCCCU
Molecule: non-coding RNA, 602 nt
Organism: Phascolarctos cinereus (koala)
Lineage: Eukaryota; Metazoa; Chordata; Mammalia; Diprotodontia; Phascolarctidae
Source: RefSeq, a predicted model, not a curated record